Molecule: unclassified non-coding RNA, 284 nt
Filed under: Hevea brasiliensis (rubber tree)
Lineage: Eukaryota; Viridiplantae; Streptophyta; Magnoliopsida; Malpighiales; Euphorbiaceae
Source: RNAcentral
UUGCAAUUAACGUGCAAGAUUUUUGUCAUCUCUCCUCGUUUUCGAGGAGAGACAUGCAGUCCUAAACUCGCGAUUUUCGUUUGUGAUUUUCGCGGAUUUGAUUCUUUGGAGCGUGCAUGCUGGUGAAGACGGGGCUGAACAAAGACUGGAGCGGCCGAUCGCUAAAGAGCGGACUGAGAACAGUGAAGACAAUAUCGGUCUUCCAUGAUCGNNNNNNNNNNNNCAUCGAACCGUCCCUGCACCGCGCGCUUGCCUUGCUCGUUAGCUCGGCGCCAGCCUGCGCU